RNAcentral lists this ribosomal RNA (510 nucleotides) under uncultured Acaulospora. Its description in RNAcentral is "SSU rRNA". It matches the Rfam family "Eukaryotic small subunit ribosomal RNA", at positions 569 to 1078 of the family's 1831-position model. The record is from RNAcentral. Lineage: Eukaryota; Fungi; Glomeromycota; Glomeromycetes; Diversisporales; Acaulosporaceae.
AGCAGCCGCGGUAAUUCCAGCUCCAAUAGCGUAUAUUAAAGUUGUUGCAGUUAAAAAGCUCGUAGUUGAAUUUCGGGAUUCGUCGGUUGGUCGGGCUUCACUGUCCGCACUGACCUGACGGAUUCCUACCUUCUGAAUAACCAGCAUGCUAUUAAGUUAGUGCGUUGGGGAAGCAGAGCUAUUACCUUGAAAAAAUUAGAGUGCUUAAAGCAGGCUUGUGCUUGAAUAGAUUAGCAUGGAAUAAUAAAAUAGGACGGCUUGGUUCUAUUUUGUUGGUUUCUAGGAUCACCGUAAUGAUUAAUAGGGAUAGUUGGGGGCAUUAGUAUUCAAUUGUCAGAGGUGAAAUUCUUGGAUUUAUUGAAGACUAACUUCUGCGAAAGCAUUUGCCAAGGAUGUUUUCAUUAAUCAAGAACGAAAGUUAGGGGAUCGAAGACGAUCAGAUACCGUCGUAGUCUUAACCAUAAACUAUGCCGACUAGGGAUCGGACGAUGUUAAUUUUUUAAUGACUCG